GGGAUGCCAAGGUUGGAAUCGAAAUUGGCGAGCACGUCAUCAAGGGUGGAUUCGCCAAAGAGAAGGAAACCAAAGAGGCUUGUGGCUACAUAGAUGGCGGAGCAGAGGGCUAGCGAUGUCCGAACAAUAGGUUUAAUCUGGGAGGAGUCCUUGAGCUCGUUGUCUAUGGAAUGAACAUUGUAAUGGCAGACAUAUGCAGUAACGAGUAUAGGGACUACUGUGAAAAGGUUCCAGACAGCUGCCAAAUCAGGUAUAAUCGGAAGUAAUCUGGGAGUCGAUAUGCUUCCAUUCAGCAGUUUGACAAUUGUGAUGCCAGCAGUAAUCACAACGAAGACAACCGCCAGAGCAACUGACAAGGCAGACGU
Molecule: unclassified non-coding RNA, 365 nt
Filed under: Hevea brasiliensis (rubber tree)
Lineage: Eukaryota; Viridiplantae; Streptophyta; Magnoliopsida; Malpighiales; Euphorbiaceae
Source: RNAcentral